RNAcentral lists this ribosomal RNA (253 nucleotides) under uncultured bacterium. Its description in RNAcentral is "partial 16S ribosomal RNA". It matches the Rfam family "Bacterial small subunit ribosomal RNA", at positions 524 to 776 of the family's 1533-position model. The record is from RNAcentral.
UACGUAGGGUGCAAGCGUUAAUCGGAAUUACUGGGCGUAAAGCGUGCGCAGGCGGUUUUUCAAGACAGAUGUGAAAUCCCCGGGCUUAACCUGGGAAUGGCAUUUGUGACUGGAAGGCUAGAGUGUGUCAGAGGGGGGUAGAAUUCCACGUGUAGCAGUGAAAUGCGUAGAGAUGUGGAGGAAUACCGAUGGCGAAGGCAGCCCCCUGGGUCAAGAUUGACGCUCAUGCACGAAAGCGUGGGGAGCAAACAGG